This 198-nucleotide ribosomal RNA is filed under the name uncultured bacterium. RNAcentral's name for it is "partial 16S ribosomal RNA". It matches the Rfam family "Bacterial small subunit ribosomal RNA", at positions 1288 to 1500 of the family's 1533-position model. The record is from RNAcentral.
UAGUUCGGAUUGUAGGCUGAAACCCGCCUACAUGAAGCUGGAAUUGCUAGUAAUCAUAGGUCAGCAUACUAUGGUGAAUACGUUCCCGGGCCUUGUACACACCGCCCGUCACACCAUGAGAGUUGAGAAUACCCGAAGUCCAUGUCAAAGUGGCCGAAGGUAGGCUUGAUGAUUGGGGUGAAGUCGUAACAAGGUAAC